UAGGGAAUCUUCCGCAAUGGGCGAAAGCCUGACGGAGCAACGCCGCGUGAGUGAUGAAGGUCUUCGGAUCGUAAUACUCUGUUAUUAGGGAAGAACAAAUGUGUAAGUAACUAUGCACGUCUUGACGGUACCUAAUCAGAAAGCCACGGCUAACUACGUGCCAGCAGCCGCGGUAAUACGUAGGUGGCAAGCGUUAUCCGGAAUUAUUGGGCGUAAAGCGCGCGUAGGCGGUUUUUUAAGUCUGAUGUGAAAGCCCACGGCUCAACCGUGGAGGGUCAUUGGAAACUGGAAAACUUGAGUGCAGAAGAGGAAAGUGGAAUUCCAUGUGUAGCGGUGAAAUGCGCAGAGAUAUGGAGGAACACCAGUGGCGAAGGCGACUUUCUGGUCUGUAACUGACGCUGAUGUGCGAAAGCGUGGGGAUCAAACAGG
RNAcentral lists this ribosomal RNA (429 nucleotides) under Actinomycetes bacterium. Its description in RNAcentral is "Actinobacteria bacterium partial 16S ribosomal RNA". It matches the Rfam family "Bacterial small subunit ribosomal RNA", at positions 355 to 776 of the family's 1533-position model. The record is from RNAcentral. Lineage: Bacteria; Bacillati; Actinomycetota; Actinomycetes.